This is a microRNA precursor of Gadus morhua (Atlantic cod), 62 nucleotides long. Ensembl annotates it as gmo-mir-23a-1. Its record names the gene gmo-mir-23a-1. NCBI's taxonomy places the organism in Eukaryota, Metazoa, Chordata, Actinopteri, Gadiformes, Gadidae. The record is from Ensembl.
GGGAUUCCCGGCAGAGUGAUUUUUGAGAAUAAGACACUGAAUCACAUUGCCAGGGAUUUCCA